AAAACAAAGCGCAAAUAUUCCUUCUAAAGUUGACAACUGAAUCAGUUCUCAAUUGGAAAAAUGAAGAUAUUUAUUUUAUUUGCUGCGAUCAGUUUGUCUGUACUGUUUGCGACUGCUAAUGCAAAAUGUACGGUCGAGGGGGCUGUCUGUACCAUUGGUAAUGCUGUACCGGGGACUUGCAGAUACCGUCCAGCGACUGCCAGCUCUUGCGCCCUUUACUGCAAACCAAACGGGGCAUUCGGUCAAGCUGGAAAACGGUGAAGAAAAACAUGUUACAGAAGGAGCAGCGAUCACCAAGACAAUAUUUUUAACCAUCUUUUUAUUUUGCAAUCAAAUUAAUUAUUCGUCAUAAAAAAAACAUUUUCAUAAUUCUGUAUUGCUUAUCUUAAAAAACUGGUAACCAUCAAAUACCAUCUAAAUUUGACAUUUCGGUACUCUAUAUAAUACCAAGAACGCGUCUGUUUUACUUCUCGAUCAAGAAAGUCUUAAUCAGCCGU
Molecule: long non-coding RNA, 497 nt
Organism: Mercenaria mercenaria
Lineage: Eukaryota; Metazoa; Mollusca; Bivalvia; Venerida; Veneridae
Exons: 4
Source: RefSeq, a predicted model, not a curated record